This 349-nucleotide ribosomal RNA is filed under the name uncultured Pseudomonas sp. Its description in RNAcentral is "bacterial SSU rRNA". It matches the Rfam family "Bacterial small subunit ribosomal RNA", at positions 87 to 439 of the family's 1533-position model. The record is from RNAcentral. Lineage: Bacteria; Pseudomonadati; Pseudomonadota; Gammaproteobacteria; Pseudomonadales; Pseudomonadaceae.
CUGAUUCAGCGGCGGACGGGUGAGUAAUGCCUAGGAAUCUGCCUGGUAGUGGGGGACAACGUUUCGAAAGGAACGCUAAUACCGCAUACGUCCUACGGGAGAAAGCAGGGGACCUUCGGGCCUUGCGCUAUCAGAUGAGCCUAGGUCGGAUUAGCUAGUUGGUGAGGUAAUGGCUCACCAAGGCGACGAUCCGUAACUGGUCUGAGAGGAUGAUCAGUCACACUGGAACUGAGACACGGUCCAGACUCCUACGGGAGGCAGCAGUGGGGAAUAUUGGACAAUGGGCGAAAGCCUGAUCCAGCCAUGCCGCGUGUGUGAAGAAGGUCUUCGGAUUGUAAAGCACUUUAAG